This 253-nucleotide ribosomal RNA is filed under the name uncultured bacterium. RNAcentral's name for it is "partial 16S ribosomal RNA". It matches the Rfam family "Bacterial small subunit ribosomal RNA", at positions 524 to 776 of the family's 1533-position model. The record is from RNAcentral.
UACAGAGGUGGCAAGCGUUGUUCGGAAUUAUUGGGCGUAAAGAGCUUGUAGGCGGUUUGUCGCGUCUGCUGUGAAAUUUCGGGGCUCAACCCCGAACUUGCAGUGGGUACGGGCAGACUAGAGUGUGGUAGGGGAGACUGGAAUUCCUGGUGUAGCGGUGAAAUGCGCAGAUAUCAGGAGGAACACCGAUGGCGAAGGCAGGUCUCUGGGCCACUACUGACGCUGAGAAGCGAAAGCAUGGGGAGCGAACAGG